UACGUAGGGGGGCUAGCGUUGUCCGGAAUCAUUGGGCGUAAAGAGCGUGUAGGCGGCCCGGUAAGUCCGCUGUAAAAGUCAAAGGCUCAACCUUUGAAUGUCAGUGGAUACUGCCGGGCUAGAGUCCGGAAGAGGCGAGUGGAACUCCUGGUGUAGCGGUGAAAUGCGCAGAUAUCAGGAAGAACACCCGUGGCGAAGGCGGCUCUCUGGGCAGUAACUGACGCUGAGGAGCGAAAGCGUGGGGGAGCGAACAGG
This 255-nucleotide ribosomal RNA is filed under the name uncultured bacterium. RNAcentral describes it as "partial 16S ribosomal RNA". It matches the Rfam family "Bacterial small subunit ribosomal RNA", at positions 524 to 776 of the family's 1533-position model. The record is from RNAcentral.